This is a long non-coding RNA of Suricata suricatta (meerkat), 2047 nucleotides long. RefSeq lists it as uncharacterized. Lineage: Eukaryota; Metazoa; Chordata; Mammalia; Carnivora; Herpestidae. The record is from RefSeq and is a predicted model, not a curated record. The transcript is spliced from 3 exons.
CAGAGGGCACACUCAGCCGGCCUCCCGAGGACAAGGCAGGGCCCCCUCCAGCCCAGGGCUCCGGGCCCGGGUCCUCCGAAGCAGGCCUCCCUGUAAUUACUACCGUGGGGUGCAGAGCCCCCUCUUUCAGGGCUGUCUCCGGCCCUGGGGGGGGCAGCUGCUAUCCCGCCUCAGGGAGAGAGGGUACAGAGCCACCCCGUGACUCACUGUGCCCACUUCCUGCCACAUAGAACCCUUGGCUGAGUCACAGGCCCCCCAAAGGGAGAGACUGGCCACAAGGCCGGAAAGCUGGAGCCCGAUGGUGGCAGGAGUAGAGGGUGCGGGUCCCGCGGGGCCACCGCUGCCGUCUCCCGUGGCCAGAGCCCCAAGUCUCCUCCGAGCAGUACCAAGCCUCCGCCAGCUGGACUGACUCUCUGCUGGUAUCUUCCCUCCAGACCCUUCCAAACAAAAACAAAACCAGAAACCCCAACUUUUUAUUUUGAAAUAGUUUCAGUUGCAAAAGUACUACAAACAAUUCCCGUAUCCCCUUCACCCGGACACCCCCAAACAGUCGGUGUUACCAUUUCUCUUCCUGCUUCUCUCCCCACUUUCAUCCGAGGCCAUUUGAGGGGUCAGCCUGGGGCAAGCAGGGGAGACCCACCUGGCCAAGGCUGGCGAGGGGUCAGCACCCCAACUUCUUCCCUCAUGCGGGGCCUGGGACACGGAAAGAGCACCUGCAUCUGUGAAAUUGGAGACUGCAAUUUACUGAAGGGCUCAGCCGCCUGGCCCCCUCUCUCCUUGCUUCCCUCCAGGGGAUGGGAGAGGGGGCGGAUGGGAGAACUUCCGAUGAACUCUGGCCCAGACGAUGAAAAUUCCUGAAGCCAGGAUGUUCUGUGGGAAAGGGCUAGAAGGGAGAAGCAAGCAGCCACACUGGCUCUGGGGUCACGCCCGCCAGUCCGGCAGAGGGGCCGGCACCUUCCCACCUCCGACCUCACAAACCCCCCGGGGAUGCUCCGUGAUGGGAAGGGAGACCACAGCCGGACCACAUAUUUGUCCAGCCUGGCCCGCCCAGGAGCGCACCCCACUUCCCCGGCUGACGCUGCUGGGAGCACAGAGGUGUCCGGGUACCUUGGACAAAUGCGGAGAUUAACAGCUGGCAGGAAGGACUGGUUUGGAGGCUGUGGCCAGUGGGGGUGGUGCCCACAGCCCGGGGGCCAGGGGUACAGCUGUCACCGGCCCGUGUCGUGCAAAGUGGAGGUUCAGCUGAGAGGCCUGGGCGAGGGGGGUGCGGUGCAGGCGGUGACUACAGAUCAGGGUUUCAGAAUCACAGGGUCCAGCCCCAAGAAGGCAGAAUCGGAGCCCAGAACUGAGGGACAAAGAAUGCCAGCCACGGAAGGGCAGGAACCUUUGGGAGGACAGAGGGUGAUGGGAGCCGCCAUCAGCUCCCUGGUUAUCAGGGAUGAAGCCGGGUGGGCUCCCUGACCCCCAGCGCAGCCGAGCCGAGCCUCCUGGAGACCUCGCCCCUGCGCAGAGACCUGGAACCGGGCGCUUGCUGCCCAGCUGCCCAGCAGAUGAUGAGCCGUGGCUCUACUCCUGCCUCUGCCCCGGCUAACUGGGUGACCCUGGGCAAGAUACUUACCUUUUCUGGGCUUCAGUUACCUCAUCUAUAAAAUGGACAUACUGACUAGCUGUGCCUCGCUCAGGUGUUAUGAAGACCAGACACAAUGGUAGGGAGGAACCACAUUUAAUCAGCACUUACUGAGCCCUUGGUGUGUGUCAGGCUCCGUGCUAGGCUGCCCAUCAGGAAACAGGAGUAUUGGGAGUGUGUCUAACAAGACGCUCUCAUCGGGUCAGGGAAGGGGUGCGUCAGCCAUGCCCUGAGUAGAAGUUACCCAACGGGGCAGCGGAGAGCAGAGGCGGCCUAAAAACCACAGCCCGUGGGCCAAAUCUGACCUUUUACAUUUUUAAAUCAUUGCAAAACAAAAUUUUAAAAAUGCUAUUUCCGGACCCUACAGAUCGUACAAAGUUCACUUUUCAAUGUCCACAAAUAAAGUUUUAUUAGAACACA